AAUAGAUACCCGGGUAGUCCACGCCGUAAACGAUGAGUGCUAAGUGUUAGAGGGUUUCCGCCCUUUAGUGCUGCAGCUAACGCAUUAAGCACUCCGCCUGGGGAGUACGGCCGCAAGGCUGAAACUCAAAGGAGUUGACGGGGGCCCGCACAAGCGGUGGAGCAUGUGGUUUAAUUCGAAGCAACGCGAAGAACCUUACCAGGUCUUGACAUCCUCUGACACUCCUAGAGAUAGGACGUUCCCCUUUGGGGGACAGAGUGACAGGUGGUGCAUGGUUGUCGUCAGCUCGUGUCGUGAGAUGUUGGGUUAAGUCCCGCAACGAGCGCAACCCUUGAUCUUAGUUGCCAGCAUUUAGUUAGGCACUCUAAGGUGACUGCCGGUGACAAACCGGAGGAAGGUGGGGAUGACGUCAAAUCAUCAUGCCCCUUAUGACCUGGGCUACACACGUGCUACAAUGGAUGGUACAAAGGGCUGCAAGACCGCGAGGUCAAGCCAAUCCCAUAAAACCAUUCUCAGUUCGGA
Molecule: ribosomal RNA, 522 nt
Filed under: uncultured bacterium
Lineage: Bacteria
Description: bacterial SSU rRNA
Rfam family: Bacterial small subunit ribosomal RNA
Source: RNAcentral